This is a long non-coding RNA of Leucoraja erinaceus (little skate), 4278 nucleotides long. RefSeq lists it as uncharacterized. The record is from RefSeq and is a predicted model, not a curated record. The transcript is spliced from 4 exons. NCBI's taxonomy places the organism in Eukaryota, Metazoa, Chordata, Chondrichthyes, Rajiformes, Rajidae.
GGGAUGGAGAGAGGGGGAAAGUAAGGGUUACUUGAAGUUAGAGAAGUCAAUAUUCAUAAUUAUGGGUUGCAAGCUGCCAAGUGAAAUAUGAGGUGCUGUUCCUCCAAUUUGCAGUUGGCCUCACUCUGACAACGGAGUAGGCCCAGGACAGAAUGGUCUGUAUGGGAAUGGGAGGGGGAGUUAAAGUGUUUAGCAUCCAAGAGAUCAUGUAGGUUUAGGUGGACUGAGCGGCAGUGUUCAGUGAAACGAUCUCUCUCUCUCUCUCUCUCUCUCCAGGCCAAGCUAGUCUUGGAUGUCUCUGGGAAGGCUAAGCUUAACAUAGUGACAUCACAGAUGUCCUCAUGAUAUAUUGGACCCUUUGACCAAUAUUGGCCCAAGCAUUCUUCUAAAACAUCUACUCGUUUUCCUAAGCAGGGUUUGAAAUGUUGUGCUGCUAAUUUAGCUGACAACUCAAUUUUAGCUCACAUAGUCUGUAUAACCCUUACAUUACUUCUGUAUUUGGUCUCGCCAAUAUAUAGGAGACCACACAUGGAAUAGGGAAUACAUAGAUAAGGUUGGAGGAGGUGCAAGUGAACCUCUGCCUCACCUGAAAGGACUGUUGUGGUCUUGGACAGAGGCGGUGGAGGAGGUAAAGGGACAGGUGUUGCAACUCCUGCAGCUGCAGGGGAAAGUACCUGAGGAGGGGGUGGUUUGGGUGGGAAGGUGCGAGUUAACCAGGGAGAUGAGGAGGAAAUGGUUUCUGUGGAAAUCAGAAAGUGGUGGAGAUUGGAAGAUGUGGCUCGUGUUGGUUUACACUGCUGGUUUAUGCUGCAGAUGCUGGUUUACACCAAAGAUAGACACGUAAUGCUGAAGUAAAUCAGUGAGACAGAUGUUGCCGGGCCUGCUGAGUUACUCCAACACGUCAAUGUGCACCAAAGUUUCUUGGCAAAAGAAAUCUCUUUUCAUGUUAAAAAUAGAAAUGUUUAGAAAUUUGUUUCAUGGUUCUACUAAUCAUUCUCAAUGUCACCAACACUGACACUAUUAUUCUCUCAAUUAUGGCAACACAUUUAUUUGCAAUUUAAUGCUUUCAUAUAAUAGUUAUUAAAGAUGUUUUAAAGUGGUCUUAGAGGUCCCAUGGUCUUUCAUAAGAUGAAUUGCAAACUCACCCUAUCCACACAUAGUUCUUAAACUAGGGGAAGUAUAUUUACCACAUUAAAAACAAUAUUGAAAUAUCAGUAGCAAAAGGAACUGCAGAUGCUGGUUUAUACAAAGGGACACAAAGUGCUGGAGUAAUUCAGCGGGUCAAGCAGCAUCUCUGAGGAACAUGGAUAUGUGAAGUUUUGUGACGGGACCCUUCUUCAGACCGAUUGAAAUAUAAGUUGCAGUUGUAGUUACUUUCUUGUUGCUGUGCUUGAAACGGCAUAUACUUCAAUCCAAUAGUUUUAAAAUGCCACCACUUAUGCUUGGUACUUUAGCCAACUAUUCAUUUAUGCUCUAUCUCCAUUAUAGCUAAUAGCCUCAAUAAAUUUACAUAGUCAGGCAGUUUUCAUCACGAAUCCUGUAUGAAGUGGGAAGUUAAGAUACUGCAGACACUUGAAAUUUAAAGUGCAAAUGUUACUGUGUGAUAAUCAUAGAAGGAGCUUGGGCAAUGAAUGAAGAGUAAGUCUCUGACUUCACUAAAUAGAGCCCCGGAGAGGAGAGCAUGGCUGUUGUUUUUUUUAUUUUAAGGGUACCUUGUUCUGGAAAAGUCACUUCAAACUGAGACCUGGAUGUUACAAAAGACAGAGCAGAACAAAUACGACUUUAAUUAGGCAAGUCUACAGAACUUCCUGGAUGAGAUGCAGGUAUGGGGACAUGUGGCAUGGGAAGUACUUGUAGAUAAAGUCAGAUAUCCUGAGGAGGCGGCUCCGGCCCUGUCAACCCCCAAUGCCUCAUCAUGAAGUACAGCUCAGUGCUAACUCAAUUCAACUGCCGAUAAACGCUAGUUUACGUUCUUUGGAAUCUUACUAUUAUUAUUUGAAAUCUUACUAAAAGCUAUUAUGUUCUUUGGAAUCCUGAGUGUAAACAUAAUGUUUACCAAUUAAAUUACUCCUCAGAUUUCCAGAGGAAGAGGAUGUAAAAACAUUAAUCCUCAAUAUGACACUGUUGAGAUUUACAGUACUUCUGGUGUUUAAUGGUGAAGCCGCAAUCAUUAAGUUGCAAGGAACAGCAAGCUAAGUAAACAUUGAGAUGAGCAGAAUUACACAUGUUUGUACAAUGAUUCUUCAUUGUUAUAGCAGAAUGACACCAUUUAGUGUAUCUCCUCCAAUGAAUGAAACAAUAAGCCUUGAUGUAACCAUUCCCAUCCUUUUACAAUUUUAAAUACUGCCACAAUCUUGUUCUAUAGGCAACUGUGUUCCAACAAAAACAGCACAAAAUAAAAGUCCCAUAUUGCCCACAGGCUUGGAAAUGUUGUUAUAACGUUAAUUAUGCACAUCUAAGAAGAAACAAUAAACACAUGUUGGGGCCAGAUUUUGUUUUGCUGCAUAAUCUUCCUUAAUGAUAGACUAGCAAUAACAGGCGAGAUUCAUUAUCUGACGACUGAAUUCACCUUACUGUAAGCAGGCAGCUCUUCCAUUCAUUCUUCAAGAGAGAAGAGUGGAUAUUGCAUGGCUCUGAGCUGCUUGUUUAAUUUAAACAUCAUAAAAAUCAUUACAGGAUAUACAGAAGUAAUUAAAAUCUGAAAUUUAUUUUCCUCAGGUCAGUCGCAGGGAUGUCUGCAGAAUCACUGCAGAGACAGACCAAUAUCAGUGUCACCUCAUUCGGUAAACAUCUGGUGAACACAGUGGCAGGCGACAAAAGUCCCCAAAUAAUUUCUAAAACAUCUGGAUGCAAAGAUUUCUGGAGAGCGAUGAUGUGGUUCUGGAACAAUGACUUAAGGCAGAAUGAAUGCUUUCCUCAUCUGAGCUUUACCUUCGACUACCUUCGAUUGCCUUCGAUUUCAUACGAUAGCAUUAUGACCUACCUCAACUAAACCUACAAAUAAAAAAAUAUUGAUUUUUUCCAUGGUGGACCUUUUUUACUCACGGCCAUUUUUCAGCAUGUGGAAAAACACGCCGCGACCUAGCUGAGGCCUCGAGUACGCGGGGACUACUCUCGAGCAUGAAGGAGAGUUACAAAGACCUCCUAGGACCUCAUGUCGACCAAGCUGCAAGUGUGAGUCGAGGGCAAACACUCCAGGACUCGCGGAUUAGGUCGCCGCAGUGGGACAGGCGCUCAAGAAACAAAAACAAUGCCCAUUUGUGCUGUCAGAUAAUCGGAUGACAAACUUGCAUCAUUGGAGCAGUGUAACUAAUAUUGAAUGCACUUCUUUCACUUCAUAUUUGUCAAAGCUCUUAUAUUUACAAAAUAAAAUUCCUUACUUGCAUUUUCACAAAGAACAUGUAUUUUUGUUUUAUUAUGGUGCUAACCAUUCUGCUUAAGGGUUUUCUCUUUACAUUUAGCAUUUCUAUAAAACCAGUUUUAUAUGCCAGUUUAAUUAGUGAGCUCUGUUUCUUCAUUAAAUAAUUCAGUGCAUUGACAUCUCUUUGGUCUAUGAAUAUACUGCUUCUAAAGAAGUUUAUUAUUUCAGGUAAUUAACACCAUGUGAUAUGCAAGAGUCUGGCAUAAAAAUACACUAAAGGGUUUAACUCCAACCAUCCUUUCUGUAAAACUGUGACUCGUUUACACAAUAAAUUGUUAUUUAAGUCUUACUACUUUUAACUCCUAUUUUUGAUUCUUUUUUUAGAAUCAGUCCCUUUUAGUCCCCAAUUUAUUCACAUAAAUGACUGCAUCACCGAUUUGAAGAUUUUAUUUAAAAUCUUUAGUGCGGCAAGGUAAAGCUAUCCUUUUUCAAUUCACUCCCUUAAAAGCAUACAGAACCCACAGCCAGAGUCUAUCCUUUUUCAUACUUCAGUGACUGUAGUGAUAGGCCUCUCAUGUUGAACUUUGAACUUAUCAGAGCCAGACAUCAACAGGACAGGGUCUGCUGGGACCACACAUAAGCAGUAGAGGAGCACACUUUGUACUCUGUGAUUAUUCCAAUGUCAGAGUUCACUCAAUCAAACCACUUUGCUGAAAGCAUCUUCGUGAUUGGAGGCCUCAGCAGAGGGGGUCCGUUUGCACUGAAAUGCGGUUCCACUUAAGGGUGUGGGUUAGAUGUAGGCUUGUGCCUGCUGCUCUGCCUGUGCAGUGUUGCUCGUCACUGCUGAAUCACCAAAGUGGAGCCACUGAACCACAGCAGCACAUUCAUCUCUCACCUUUGAUGAUACAGUUCCGGAG